GACGAACGCUGGCGGCGUGCCUAAUACAUGCAAGUAGAACGCUGAAAGAGGAGCUUGCUUCUCUGGAUGAGUUGCGAACGGGUGAGUAACGCGUAGGUAACCUGCCUGGUAGCGGGGGAUAACUAUUGGAAACGAUAGCUAAUACCGCAUAAUAGUAGAUGUUGCAUGACAUUUGCUUAAAAGGUGCAAUUGCAUCACUACCAGAUGGACCUGCGUUGUAUUAGCUAGUUGGUGAGGUAACGGCUCACCAAGGCGACGAUACAUAGCCGACCUGAGAGGGUGAUCGGCCACACUGGGACUGAGACACGGCCCAGACUCCUACGGGAGGCAGCAGUAGGGAAUCGUCGGCAAUGGACGGAAGUCUGACCGAGCAACGCCGCGUGAGUGAAGAAGGUUUUCGGAUCGUAAAGCUCUGUUGUAAGAGAAGAACGAGUGUGAGAGUGGAAAGUUCACACUGUGACGGUAUCUUACCAGAAAGGGACGGCUAACUACGUG
This 495-nucleotide ribosomal RNA is filed under the name uncultured bacterium. RNAcentral describes it as "partial 16S ribosomal RNA". It matches the Rfam family "Bacterial small subunit ribosomal RNA", at positions 28 to 507 of the family's 1533-position model. The record is from RNAcentral.